CAAAGUUCCAGGUGGGAGGUGUAGGCAGAGCUUUUCUAGAGCAGAUAAGGCUGUAUCUCUGCAGCACCUCGUCCAGUCACACACACACACACACACACACACACACACACACACACUCAAACAUCAAAGCCUUCACCUGUCGCCAGGAAUUUAUGCAAAGAUAUUCCCAGGGCAUAAAAUGUCCCUGGAACUCCUUUUUGGGAAAUCCGACUGAGCAUGUGACACACUCUGACUUUUCUCUGUGGGGGUCACUCUUUGCCUUUCAAGGGUAGAUUUGAUUUCUGGAAACAGCCCAGAGUCAUUUAGAGCCAAGUGUGCAGACUGAAAUUAGAGAUUAGAGUGUGGCCACUGAUGAGGGUUGAUACAGAUAGAAUAAAACUCGCUGUGUCUUGUGUGAAUGGGGACAAUACUUCUCUUACAGGAUUUCAUCCGGUACAGUAUGUAAAGGGCCUGGCGCGGUUUUUGAUCCCCAGCAGGCAUUUCACAACUGGUAAUAAUGAAUAUUCCUAAAACAGAGAUCCUGAAAUGAAUGGAAGAAUCAUUGAAAUAAGCUCUUCGUUCCCCAAGGGAGAUCAGAAGCUCCGUAUCAAGAGAAGAGCAGCUGGAGGAGAUGAUGGGGAGAAGGCAAUGCCAACGCCUCGGCGGCCUCAUGACCAGCAGAGUCUGCUGUGGCCCCUGGCGGCCCAGCACUAGACAGUGUGGGUCCCCGGGGACGGGACGGAGGCCCAGUGUGUCCUCCCCUCCCCCACACCACCAGCAGGCUUCUCUGCAGGGUUGCUGAUACCAGGGAGAAACUUUAGGCACGGCGAUCUCGGGGGCUCAGCGGCGAAAGGCGGAGAGGGGAGAGAAGAAAAGGGAGCAGGAGACGCAACGGUGAUCAUCCCGGCAGCACCACAGGCCUGCGUUGCUGGGCCUCUAUCGUGCCGGCCAACAGGAUUUUUUAAUACAGUACUACAAAUUACUUUAUUUUAUUUCUCCAUCUCUUUUGAGGUAUAAUUGACCAAUAAA
This is a long non-coding RNA of Artibeus jamaicensis (Jamaican fruit-eating bat), 1008 nucleotides long. RefSeq lists it as uncharacterized. NCBI's taxonomy places the organism in Eukaryota, Metazoa, Chordata, Mammalia, Chiroptera, Phyllostomidae. The record is from RefSeq and is a predicted model, not a curated record. The transcript has 3 exons.